AAAGAAAAUUGCAAACCACUUGAAAAAGCGGGACGCAAAGCUAAAGGACCUAAGGAUAUUCUUUCUAUGGUAGCCAGUUGCCACA
RNAcentral lists this non-coding RNA (85 nucleotides) under unclassified sequences. Its description in RNAcentral is "c-di-GMP sequence". It matches the Rfam family "c-di-GMP-I riboswitch aptamer". Rfam says of the family: GEMM was predicted in a large-scale screen for bacterial structured RNA regulatory elements. Genes associated with GEMM are involved in a diverse array of functions, including chemotaxis regulation, signal transduction, secretion and chitin. The record is from RNAcentral.